GAUGAAGAACGUAGCAAAAUGCGAUAAGUAAUGUGAAUUGCAGAAUUCAGUGAAUCAUCGAAUCUUUGAACGCACAUUGCGCCCGCUGGUAUUCCGGCGGGCAUGCCUGUUCGAGCGUCAUUUCAACCCUCAAGCCCCCGGGUUUGGUGUUGGGGAUCGGCUCUGCCUUCUGGCGGUGCCGCCCCCGAAAUACAUUGGCGGUCUCGCUGCAGCCUCCAUUGCGUAGUAGCUAACCCCUCGCAACUGGAACGCGGCGCGGCCAUGCCGUAAAACCCCAACUUCUGAAUGUUGACCUCGGAUCAGGUAGGAAUACCCGCUGAACUUAAGCAUAUCAAUAAGCGGAGGA
RNAcentral lists this unclassified non-coding RNA (346 nucleotides) under soil metagenome. RNAcentral's name for it is "partial contains 5.8S ribosomal RNA, internal transcribed spacer 2, and large subunit ribosomal RNA". The stretch from base 1 to 120 matches the Rfam family "5.8S ribosomal RNA", at positions 35 to 154 of the family's 154-position model. The record is from RNAcentral.